GCCUAACACAUGCAAGUCGAGCGGCAGCGACAACAUUGACCCUUCGGGGGAUUUGUUGGGCGGCGAGCGGCGGACGGGUGAGUAAUGCCUGGGAAUAUGCCUUAGUGUGGGGGAUAACUAUUGGAAACGAUAGCUAAUACCGCAUAAUGCCUACGGGCCAAAGAGGGGGACCUUCGGGCCUCUCGCGCUAAGAUUAGCCCAGGUGGGAUUAGCUUGUUGGUGGGGUAACGGCUCACCAAGGCAACGAUCCCUAGCUGGUCUGAGAGGAUGAUCAGCCACACUGGAAGUGAGACACGGUCCAGACUCCUACGGGAGGCAGCAGUGGGGAAUAUUGCACAAUGGGGGAAACCCUGAUGCAGCCAUGCCGCGUGUAUGAAGAAGGCCUUCGGGUUGUAAAGUACUUUCAGUCGUGAGGAAGGGUGUGUAGUUAAUAGCUGCAUGNCUUGAGGUUAGCGACAGAAGAAGCACC
Molecule: ribosomal RNA, 469 nt
Filed under: uncultured Gammaproteobacteria bacterium
Lineage: Bacteria; Pseudomonadati; Pseudomonadota; Gammaproteobacteria
Description: bacterial SSU rRNA
Rfam family: Bacterial small subunit ribosomal RNA
Source: RNAcentral